CUCAAGGUUUUUCUAAAGACCACUCAAUAGUGAAGGAAAAAUAAAU
This is a non-coding RNA of Sus scrofa (pig), 46 nucleotides long. The record is from Rfam. Lineage: Eukaryota; Metazoa; Chordata; Mammalia; Artiodactyla; Suidae.